RNAcentral lists this ribosomal RNA (729 nucleotides) under uncultured eukaryote. RNAcentral describes it as "bacterial SSU rRNA". It matches the Rfam family "Eukaryotic small subunit ribosomal RNA", at positions 678 to 1425 of the family's 1831-position model. The record is from RNAcentral.
CGUGUGCAGCGGUGCCCUUCCAUCCUUCUGUUAACGUUUCUGAUAUUCAUUUAUUGGUCUCGGGCUCAGAUAUUUUACCUUGAGAAAAUUAGAGUGUUCCAGGCAGGCUUGCGCCGGAAUACAUUAGCAUGGAAUAAUAGAAUAGGACUUUAGUCUCCUUUGUUGGUUUGAGGGACUGAAGUAAUGAUUAAUAGGGAUAAUCUCGGGGGCAUUCGUAUUUCUGCGGGAGAGGUGAAAUUCUAUGAUCGCAGAAGGACGCCCUAAAGCGAAAGCAUUUGCCAAGAAUGUCUUCGUUAAUCAAGAACGAAAGUCAGAGGAUCGAAGGCGAUUAGAUACCGCCCUAGUUCUGACCGUAAACGAUACCAUCUAGCGAUCCGAUAGGGUCUAUCUAGCCUUGUCGGGGAGCUUCCCGGAAACGAAAGUCUUUCGGUUCCGGGGGUAGUAUGGUUGCAAAGCUGAAACUUAAAGAAAUUGACGGAAGGGCACCACCAGGAGUGGAGCUUGCGGCUUAAUUUGACUCAACACGGGAAAACUCACCCGGUCCGGACACCGUAAGGAUUGACAGACUGAUAGCUCUUUCUUGAUUCGGUGGUUGGUGGUGCAUGGCCGUUCUUAGUUGGUGGAGUAAUUUGUCUGGUUUAUUCCGAUAACGAGCGAGACUCUAGCCUGCUAAAUAGAACGAGGAUAAACCUUUUCAUAGGUCCUCGAUGCUUCUUAGAGGAAUUAGCG